GAUGAACGCUGGCGGCGUGCCUAAUACAUGCAAGUCGAGCGACCGGACGAGAAGCUUGCUUCUCUGCUGUUAGCGGCGGACGGGUGAGUAACACGUGGAUAACCUACCUAUAAGACUGGGAUAACUUCGGGAAACCGGAGCUACUACCGGAUAAUAUUUUGAACCGCAUGGUUCAAAAGUGAAUGACGGUCUUGCUGUCACUUAUAGAUGGAUCCGCGCUGCAUUAGCUAGUUGGUAAGGUAACGGCUUACCAAGGCACCGAUGCAUAGCGGACCGGAGAGAGGAUCCGGCAAAACGGAAACGAAGACACGGCCAAGACCCUAAGGGAGGGAGGAGGUGGGAAAUCUGCCGAAAGGGGCGAAGCCCUGACGAGGCAACGCGGGUGGGGGAAGAAGGGCUUCGGGUUGGAAAAACUCUGUUAUUGGGAAAAAAAAUAGGUGUAAGUAACCGCGCACAUCUGACGGUAACCAAAUAAGAAGCCACGGCUAACUACGUG
This 496-nucleotide ribosomal RNA is filed under the name uncultured bacterium. RNAcentral describes it as "partial 16S ribosomal RNA". It matches the Rfam family "Bacterial small subunit ribosomal RNA", at positions 28 to 507 of the family's 1533-position model. The record is from RNAcentral.